AUUGAACGCUGGCGGCAGGCCUAACACAUGCAAGUCGAGCGGCAGCGGGACCUUCGGGUUGCCGGCGAGCGGCGGACGGGUGAGUAAUGCCUAGGAAUCUGCCUGUUAGUGGGGGAUAACGCGGGGAAACUCGCGCUAAUACCGCAUACGUCCUACGGGAGAAAGCGGGGGCUCUUCGGACCUCGCGCUAACAGAUGAGCCUAGGUCGGAUUAGCUAGUUGGUGGGGUAAUGGCUCACCAAGGCGACGAUCCGUAACUGGUCUGAGAGGAUGAUCAGUCACACUGGAACUGAGACACGGUCCAGACUCCUACGGGAGGCAGCAGUGGGGAAUAUUGGACAAUGGGCGAAAGCCUGAUCCAGCCAUGCCGCGUGUGUGAAGAAGGUCUUCGGAUUGUAAAGCACUUUAAGUCGGGAGGAAGGGCUGUAGGUUAAUACCCUGCGGUUUUGACGUUACCGACAGAAUAAGCACCGGCUAACUUCGUGCCAGCCGCCGCAGUAA
RNAcentral lists this ribosomal RNA (500 nucleotides) under uncultured bacterium. Its description in RNAcentral is "partial 16S ribosomal RNA". It matches the Rfam family "Bacterial small subunit ribosomal RNA", at positions 30 to 523 of the family's 1533-position model. The record is from RNAcentral.